AAGGUGAGAGAUUUGAAGACAACAAGGAAGAGAGGCGCCCCGGGGUGCCUGCCAGCGCUGUGGGGGCCACAGCCCCGCCGUCAGUGAGCGCAGGGGUGGCUCCGGGCCCUGAGGGGACGCCGCACAGGGACACGCAGACACCCGCCCUGCGGACAGGACGCUUCUCGGGCCCCGGCACCUACAUGUUUGUUUUCCCAGAACUUCACGAGAAAACAACCUGAAGCAUAAAGCUUGCCGUCUCUUUGCUGCCUUCAGAGUGGAAAAGUUGGGGUGACAGAGGAGUGUACGUGUGGCAGGGCGUAGACAGCAAGAGUGGCCGGCGUGGGCCGCCUGGAGGGGCCCCCACAGCCCACUUCCCGUAAACCAAGCCUAGUAGCUGGUUCAUGCUCUGCCUCUCCCUCUCCCACUCACUCUUGAAGAGAGGGCCUCACCUGGGGCUCCAGGCUGCUCUUUCCCAUCACUUUGGCCUCCCACGUGACAUUGGUGGGUGGUGUUGUCUGUACAUGCUAACUCCAUUGCUCUUUCCAGCCCCCUGCCAAUAAACAACUAUUUAAGGGGGGGAAAAAUAAAUAAAUAAAAUAAAUAAAUAAUCGUGUGCUGGUUGAUUAAAAUCCUUUCCAAGUAUUAGUUCCCUUGCUAAUGCUUGACCCCAUGGUUCACUAGUGAGAUAGGCAAGGGGCAGUCAGGGUGCCCAUCCUGGUGGCUACCGAGGCACAGCUGAUGUGCUUAGUCACAGAGUCCUAGGAUAAGUCAGCAGAAACCUGACCUUUCAGCCAGAGCCGCUGGCCGGCUCCCAGCUUCCCUGCACCACCUGACCUCCGUGGGCAUCAUGCCACAAGCUGUAGCUCUUUGCUGAGCCACCUGGGCUCUGCUGGGAGGGCACACAGGUUUGAGAUGUGAAAUAGGCGCCUGGGACAAGCUUCUGGCACUAUCCUCCAAGAGGCCUCGAUGGUGACAGACCUCAAAGCCUCAAAGAUGCAUUAGAUUGCGGAAAACAGCCAAACACUGAGGCAUGUGUGGAAAGCAAUGGCCUGAUAUGCUCAAAUCACUCUUAGAAUUUCUUUUAGAAAUUCCUUUGAAGCCAGAUGAUAAGCCACAGUUCUCUUAUCUCGUGGUUGUGUCAUCUUUAUGAUGAAAGAUAAGUGUGUUUGACGACCCACCAUUUUUCAUACGUGUGCCACCAGACAACAGAGCCCCAGCCAAUUGUCACUCACGGGGCAUACAGGACAUAUCCACAAAACAGGCUUCCCUAAUAAUCCCAUUUGCCAUUUAUUGAGCACCCUCUAUGUACCAGGAUCUACUUCCCACUUUAAUGACAGCCCCCAAAGAUCAUUUUUCCCAUUUUACAGA
This 1350-nucleotide long non-coding RNA is filed under the name Canis lupus familiaris (dog). RNAcentral's name for it is "lncRNA (ENSCAFG00030010225.1)". Lineage: Eukaryota; Metazoa; Chordata; Mammalia; Carnivora; Canidae. The record is from RNAcentral.